RNAcentral lists this ribosomal RNA (253 nucleotides) under uncultured bacterium. RNAcentral's name for it is "partial 16S ribosomal RNA". It matches the Rfam family "Bacterial small subunit ribosomal RNA", at positions 524 to 776 of the family's 1533-position model. The record is from RNAcentral.
UACGGAGGGUGCGAGCGUUGUCCGGAAUCACUGGGCGUAAAGGGCGCGUAGGCGGAUGGCACAGUCAGAUGUGAAAUUCCCGGGCUUAACCUGGGGGCUGCAUUUGAUACGUGUUGUCUUGAGUUCGGAAGAGGGUCGUGGAAUUCCCAGUGUAGAGGUGAAAUUCGUAGAUAUUGGGAAGAACACCGGUGGCGAAGGCGGCGACCUGGUCCGACACUGACGCUGAGGCGCGAAAGCGUGGGGAGCAAACAGG